CAGAGGGUGCAAGCGUUGUUCGGAAUUACUGGGCGUAAAGCGUGCGUAGUCGGUAUUGAGAGUCGCGGGUGAAAUCCCAGGGCUUAACCCUGGAACUGCCUGCGAGACCUCAGUACUAGAGUGUGAGAGGGGAUAGUGGAAUACCCAGUGUAGCGGUGAAAUGCGUAGAGAUUGGGUGGAACACCGGUGGCGAAGGCGGCUAUCUGGCUCACAACUGACGAUCAGGCACGAAAGCGUGGGGAGCAAACAGGAUUAGAUACCCUGGUAGUCCACGCCGUAAACUAUCCAUACAAGCUGUAGUGGGGUUUUACUCCUGCUGUGGCGAAGCUAACGCAAUUAGUAUGGCGCCUGGGGAGUACGGUCGCAAGACUA
This 372-nucleotide ribosomal RNA is filed under the name uncultured organism. RNAcentral's name for it is "bacterial SSU rRNA". It matches the Rfam family "Bacterial small subunit ribosomal RNA", at positions 526 to 896 of the family's 1533-position model. The record is from RNAcentral.